CAGAGGGUCACACUGGUCUGGUCCCAGAAGAGAGAAAUCACCCACAACACCAAGAAACUGAAAAACAAUCUCAAUCUUCAAUGAAAUCAAGGGAUACUUAAAAUCUUGUGGCACCGAGGUCACAAAAAAGAUGAAGGAGGUGUAAC
This 146-nucleotide long non-coding RNA is filed under the name Cavia porcellus (domestic guinea pig). RNAcentral's name for it is "lncRNA (ENSCPOG00000040011.1)". Lineage: Eukaryota; Metazoa; Chordata; Mammalia; Rodentia; Caviidae. The record is from RNAcentral.